CCUACGGGUGUCAGCAGUGAGGAAUAUUGGUCCAUGUGCGCUAGCCUGAACCAUCCAAGUAGCGUGAAGGAUGACUGCCCUACGGGUUGUAAACUUCUUUUAUAAAGGAAUAAAGUGAGGCCCGUGUGCCUUUUUGUCUGUACUUUAUGAAUAACGAUCGUCUAACUCCGUGACAGCAUCGGCGGUAAUACGGAGGAUCCGAGCGUUAUCCGGAUUUAUUGGGUUUAAAGGGAGCGGAGAUGGGUUGUUAAGUCAGUUGUUAAAGUUUGCGGCUCAACAGUAAAAUUGCAAUUGAUACUGGCAGUCUUGAGUACAGUUGAGUGAGGCGGAAUUCGUGGUGUAGCGG
This 346-nucleotide ribosomal RNA is filed under the name uncultured bacterium. Its description in RNAcentral is "partial 16S ribosomal RNA". It matches the Rfam family "Bacterial small subunit ribosomal RNA", at positions 338 to 681 of the family's 1533-position model. The record is from RNAcentral.